This 458-nucleotide ribosomal RNA is filed under the name uncultured bacterium. RNAcentral describes it as "partial 16S ribosomal RNA". It matches the Rfam family "Bacterial small subunit ribosomal RNA", at positions 338 to 795 of the family's 1533-position model. The record is from RNAcentral.
CCUACGGGUGGCAGCAGUGAGGAAUAUUGGUCAAUGGGCUUACGCCUGAACCAGCCAAGUCGCGUGAGGGAAGACUGCCCUAUGGGUUGUAAACCUCUUUUGUCAGGGAGCAACGCCGGCUACGUGUAGCCGGACUGAGUACCUGAAGAAAAAGCAUCGGCUAACUCCGUGCCAGCAGCCGCGGUAAUACGGAGGAUGCGAGCGUUAUCCGGAUUUAUUGGGUUUAAAGGGUGCGUAGGCGGAAUGUCAAGUCAGCGGUAAAAUCGCGGGGCUCAACCUCGCUCCGCCGUUGAAACUGUGUCCCUUGAGUGCGCGAAGGGUAGGCGGAAUGCGUGGUGUAGCGGUGAAAUGCAUAGAUAUCACGCAGAACUCCGAUCGCGAAGGCAGCCUACCGGCGCGCAACUGACGCUCAUGCACGAAAGCGUGGGUAUCGAACAGGAUUAGAUACCCCUGUAGUC